Molecule: ribosomal RNA, 161 nt
Filed under: Anthocercis myosotidea
Lineage: Eukaryota; Viridiplantae; Streptophyta; Magnoliopsida; Solanales; Solanaceae
Description: 5.8S ribosomal RNA
Source: RNAcentral
GAGUCUUUGAACGCAAGUUGCGCCCGAAGCCAUUAGGCCGAGGGCACGUCUGCCUGGGCGUCACGCAUCGCGUCGCCCCCGCACGCCCCGCCCGCAUUUGCGGGCGCGGCGGUGUCGCGGGGCGGAUACUGGCCUCCCGUGCUCCCCGAGCGUGCGGCUGG